AGAUUCUUUAGAAAUCAGUGGG
Molecule: microRNA, 22 nt
Filed under: Nematostella vectensis (starlet sea anemone)
Lineage: Eukaryota; Metazoa; Cnidaria; Anthozoa; Actiniaria; Edwardsiidae
Description: nve-miR-9450
Source: miRBase by way of RNAcentral